RNAcentral lists this ribosomal RNA (253 nucleotides) under uncultured bacterium. Its description in RNAcentral is "partial 16S ribosomal RNA". It matches the Rfam family "Bacterial small subunit ribosomal RNA", at positions 524 to 776 of the family's 1533-position model. The record is from RNAcentral.
UACGUAUGGUGCAAGCGUUAUCCGGAUUUACUGGGUGUAAAGGGAGCGCAGGCGGCACGGCAAGUCUGAUGUGAAAGCCCGCGGCCCAACCGCGGGACUGCAUUGGGAACUACCGGGCUGGAGUGCCGGAGAGGUAGGCGGAAUUCCUAGUGUAGCGGUGAAAUGCGUAGAUAUUAGGAGGAACACCAGUGGCGAAGGCGGCCUACUGGACGGUGACUGACGCUGAGGCUCGAAAGCGUGGGGAGCAAACAGG